Molecule: transfer RNA, 72 nt
Filed under: Acanthaster planci (crown-of-thorns starfish)
Lineage: Eukaryota; Metazoa; Echinodermata; Asteroidea; Valvatida; Acanthasteridae
Description: tRNA-Tyr
Rfam family: tRNA
About the family: Transfer RNA (tRNA) molecules are approximately 80 nucleotides in length. Their secondary structure includes four short double-helical elements and three loops (D, anti-codon, and T loops). Further hydrogen bonds mediate the characteristic L-shaped molecular structure. tRNAs have two regions of fundamental functional importance: the anti-codon, which is responsible for specific mRNA codon recognition, and the 3' end, to which the tRNAs corresponding amino acid is attached (by aminoacyl-tRNA synthetases). tRNAs cope with the degeneracy of the genetic code in two manners: having more than one tRNA (with a specific anti-codon) for a particular amino acid; and 'wobble' base-pairing, i.e. permitting non-standard base-pairing at the 3rd anti-codon position.
Source: Rfam by way of RNAcentral
UCCUCGGUAGUAUAGUGGUUAGUAUUUCCGACUGUAACUCAGGAGACCGGGGUUCGAUUCCCCGCGGGGGAG